RNAcentral lists this ribosomal RNA (253 nucleotides) under uncultured bacterium. RNAcentral describes it as "partial 16S ribosomal RNA". It matches the Rfam family "Bacterial small subunit ribosomal RNA", at positions 524 to 776 of the family's 1533-position model. The record is from RNAcentral.
UACGUAGGUGGCAAGCGUUGUCCGGAUUUAUUGGGUUUAAAGGGUGCGUAGGCGGUUCUGUAAGUCAGUGGUGAAAUACGGCAGCUCAGCUGUCGAGGUGCCAUUGAUACUGCGGAACUUGAGUACUGAUGAGGUAGGCGGAAUUGACGGUGUAGCGGUGAAAUGCUUAGAUAUCGUCAAGAACACCGAUAGCGAAGGCAGCUUACCAAGCAGUAACUGACGCUGAGGCACGAAAGUGCGGGGAUCAAACAGG